GGUCCUAUAGCUCAGUUGGUUAGAGCAUGGUGCUAACAACUCCAAGGCCGUGAGUUCGACCCUCAUUCGCACCA
Molecule: transfer RNA, 74 nt
Organism: Paracoccidioides sp.
Lineage: Eukaryota; Fungi; Ascomycota; Eurotiomycetes; Onygenales; Ajellomycetaceae
Rfam family: tRNA
About the family: Transfer RNA (tRNA) molecules are approximately 80 nucleotides in length. Their secondary structure includes four short double-helical elements and three loops (D, anti-codon, and T loops).
Source: Rfam